This 235-nucleotide long non-coding RNA is filed under the name Lathyrus oleraceus (garden pea). RNAcentral's name for it is "Pisum sativum (pea) long non-coding RNA (PSAT_LNC040601)". Lineage: Eukaryota; Viridiplantae; Streptophyta; Magnoliopsida; Fabales; Fabaceae. The record is from RNAcentral.
CUUUCUCCACUUUCUCAAUCGCUUCUCUGUUUCACGUGAAAACUUUCUUUUCCAAAUGAGACUCUUUUUCCUUAUUUCACACUUAUAUAUUUUCCACUUUAUAUUAUUAUCCCAAUAAUAAUAAUAAUUCAAUAAUUCCAAAAUAAUAAUAAUAAUAAUCCAAUUAUCUAAUUAAAUUAAUAAAUAUAUUAUUAACUUAAUUUAAAUAAUUAUCAUAUUAUUAUCGGGGUGUUAC